Long non-coding RNA from Dama dama (fallow deer), 332 nucleotides. RefSeq lists it as uncharacterized. The transcript has 4 exons. NCBI's taxonomy places the organism in Eukaryota, Metazoa, Chordata, Mammalia, Artiodactyla, Cervidae. The record is from RefSeq and is a predicted model, not a curated record.
CACGCUCACUCUUGGGCGUGGAGUGUGACUGCCCAGCUCGCUGGGAGGGAGCUGAAGGGGCAGGUUAGAAAUGCAGCUUUUAAAAAUGAUUUGACCAUCACUGUGGAGGCUUCCUUGUCCGACACCGCGGUCAGCUGGUGAAGAAUCUGCCUGCAAUGCUGGAGACCCUGGUUUGAUUCCUGGGAUGGGAAGAUCCUCCUGAGAAGGGGUGGCUCAGUGGUAAAGAAUCUGCUUACCAAUGCAGGAGACACAGGAGACUCAGGACAUGAGAUGAAACUAUCAGUGACAUUAUUUCUCCUCUCAAAAAUUUUCCCGAGAAAAGAAAUCUGAGG